GGGAGGGGGCCGUGGGGCCUGCGGAGAGAUUGUGGGUUGCGAAUUAACGACAUUAACCUAAUCUCCGCGGGCCGGCCUAAUUGCCCCGGUUAAUCGCAUUAAUUCCAUUGUGCCGCGCCGUUAACAGCUCCCCGCGCCCGCGCCCCGCGCCCCCACCCCCUUUUCUCUGGCUGGGCUCCGUUACGGGGUGCGAUUUCCUCUGCCCGCGGAGCUCGGAGGCAUCCCGACCGGGGGUUCCUCGGGAGGACGGCCCCCGCCCCCGUGUGGAAAUCGGUUUUGUUUUUUAGAAACAGGGAGCGGCCGCGUCCUCGCUCACACGGGACUGAAAACCCGCCCUCCGCGGCCCGCGCCCGCGCCGCCUAACUUCGCCAAGGUGGCUUCUUUUUCAAUCUCCACUAUCCCAAAUGGAAUUGGCUAACCCCUCCAAGCUUUUGUUUUUGCAAAAGCCAAAAUUUGUAAAAAGCAAAAACGACGAAAGAAGUGGUGCAUCGUGUUCUGUUUAAAAAAAAAAAUCUUCUUUCUUUUCUUCUUCUUUUUUUUUCCUUUUUUUUGUAGCGACUUUGAGUCCGAAAACCACCAUGGCGGUCCCGGGUCCUUACACGACGAAGACGGAAUCCUUCGCCGCUGCACUCCGAGGAACUGCAAAAGCUGAUUCUCCAAUGUAUAUGGAAGCACAAAUGUGCAAGAAUAGCCAAGACAUUCCUGAAGAAGCAUGCGCGGGGGCGCUUUGCCCAGAAGAGGGUGGAAUUCAUCGUGGAGUUACUUGGCGGUUGCUUUGGCACCGAGAAACUGACCAGUGAAAGAGAGCAGAAAGCCCAGAGGCGGGCGCGAGUCCCGCCGUAAGCCUCACGUGGCAGGCCACCAGGGCCAGGAGGAAGGGACCGCCGAGGACGCCAGCGCGCUGGUUAUCUGCGCGGGGGAGGGACAGGUCCUUGUGUCCUGAGCUAUAAAAACCAGAUGCUGGCCAGUUCCGGGUGUCACUUGGAAAGGUGCCAUUAUAAACUCUGAGGGGGAGCUAUUCCAUGACCUGCAGGUAAGGGAAGUAUUUUAUUUCUGUUUUUCUUUUUUUAAGAUUUUAUUUAUGUAGUUGAGAGGUAGAGUUACAGAGAGAGGGAGAGACAGAAAGGUCCUUCAUCUGCUGGUUCACUUCCCAAAUGACUGCAAUGGCCGGAGCUGGGCCAAUCCAAAGCCAGGAGCCAGGAGCUUCCUCUAGGUCUCCCGUGUGCAAGCAGGGGCCCAAGCACUUGAGCCAUCUUCCAUUGCUGUCCCAGGCCACAGCAGAGAGCUGGAUCCGAAGAGGAGCAGCCACAACUUGAACAGGCACCCAUAUGGGAUGCAGGCACUGCAGCAGGGGCUUAGCCUAGUACCACAGCGCCAGCCCCCAGGAAGUAUUUUCUAAACAAGGAAAUAAGAUACAAAGAGUCACAGCUACACUAAAAACUAUUGUCCACCAAAUUCCCCUUCAACAAACAAGCCACAGAUUGGAAGAAGACAAAGGAUUACAACCCUGGAUGCAUAAAGAAUUCCUGCAAUCCAAUUAGAAAAAUGCAAAUCAUUUUCACAUUAAAAAGGGAUCCUCCGUCCCCGCCCUCCCUCAGUGGUCUCUGAGUUCGGUGCUCCAGCAAGGAAGAGAGAUGGGUUUGACCCAGGAGCCCUCUGACUUGCAGAAGUAGGUGACUGGUGCUUUGACGAAUUCUAGGAGGGUGUGGAAGGCGAUGGGUAGCAGGAACUUGACUGCAGAAGGCAGUCAGGUGGGGCCAAGCAGGACUGGGUGGAUGUUUUGUAAAUAGGAAAAUAAAAAUCCUACUUCUAU
Non-coding RNA from Oryctolagus cuniculus (rabbit), 1813 nucleotides. The record is from RefSeq and is a predicted model, not a curated record. Lineage: Eukaryota; Metazoa; Chordata; Mammalia; Lagomorpha; Leporidae.